GUGGUGACCUGGGAAUCAAUGUGUGAGGUGGUGCUAUGUAGCAGGAACCCCUCUUGCUUUGCAAAUAGUUUUUUGUUUGUUUUCCUUUUUGCCCAAUAGAGCCCUGCUCUACUGACCCUUCAAUGUGCCCGUGUGCCUAAAUAUUCCUGGUCGUGUGAAAAGAACCCAGGUAUUAGCUGAACUAAGGAGCACAAUUCUGCAACAUUUUGGCACCCAAACACGGGGCUUGAGAAAUGAAUGCAAUUGGAGAAACUGGUUGUUUUACCAGGCGUUGAUUGGAAAUGUGUGCUUCCCUUUAAGCAGUCAAGCUCAACUUGCAGAACUGAUGGGAACCCCUUGGGAAAACUGGCCUCAAAUGUUUGUCUACACAGUCCACAUACAGGGUUCUUAACCUGCGAUUGAAACUCCCACAACUUUGGCAGACCAACUCCUCAGAAAACAUUAUUCUUUGACAUCAAUAUGUUUUGCACAAAAUUGAAUGGCAAGUGAAAGGCAUCAAAUGGAGCUGUCAUUUAAAUGUGCUUGCCAACUAGCUUGUUUAUCAAAACAUUCCAGACCCUUUCAAAUUCUCAUUUACAUUGUUUCUUGUUUACCACACCCAUAAAUUUGUAUUACCAGCAUAUUUAACUAUCCGGCUAUUUUGGAGAUUGAAAAAAGAAGACCUGAUUUAUCAUGUGCAAUAUCUCACACAUCUGUCAUUUCUAUUCUACCGCAAUUCGAUGGAGUCUUGUUCUGUGGUCCAGGCUAGAGGGCAGUGGCAUGAUCUCGGCUCACUACAAGCUCUGCCUCCCGGGUUCACGCCAUUCUCCUGCCUCAGCCUCCUGAGUAGCUGGGACUACAGGCGCCCGCCACCACGCCUGGCUAAUUUUUUGUAUAUUUACUAGAGAUGGCUAGUGUUAGCCAAGAUGGUCUCGAUCUCCUGACCUCGUGAUCUGCCCACCUCAGCCUGCCAAAGUGCUGGGAUUACUGGCGUGAGCCACCGUGCCUGGCCAGCAUCCUCUAAUUAUUAUUCAUAGUUUGUGAAUUUAGGCCUACGUGAAUAAUAAUAUAAUAUUUACUAUGAUGUUACUAUCUACCAACCUUAUUUUUCUUUUCUAUAAAAUAGGAGCCAAAAUAAUAUUUAUGUCAUACCUUAUGAAGUUAAAAUAAAAUAUAACGAAUGAGGGGCUUAACAA
Molecule: long non-coding RNA, 1175 nt
Organism: Homo sapiens (human)
Lineage: Eukaryota; Metazoa; Chordata; Mammalia; Primates; Hominidae
Gene: PURPL
Product: p53 upregulated regulator of p53 levels
Source: Ensembl